AGAGAAAGAGGUGAAGAGAAGAAAAAAGGUUUUGGAGAGAAGAGCUUGAGGAAUCAAUUGGGGUAAGCUUAGGAGCUGAAUUGAAGCAAGAGUUUGGGUUAAUCUUCUUCUAAGGUAAGGGGGUUAGUUAUUAUCAUAAUCAUGUACAAUUUUUGCAUUUUCUCAUGUUGUAUGAAAAUGGGUUGAUGAACAAUUGUUGCUAAAUUCGUGCUCUUGCUGUGAUGUUAUUUUCUUGUGCAUGAAUUGAUGAUUAUGGUAUGUUUGUGAGUGAAAUUACAUGUUUCAAAGUAUGUAUAAAUGUUAAGUUAUGAGAUUAUACUUAAUUGAUGAAAUUUUGAUAUGUUGUUGUUGAAAUGAGAUGUGAUUCAUGUUCCAUUGAUGUUGUUGCUAUUAACUGAUGUUGUUGAGGGUGAAUUAUGACUUGGGUAUACAUAAUUAUGGAUUGAUGAUGAGAAAUGAGAUGUUGUUGUUGUUUUGAGAAAAUGGGUCAAAUGGUGAUUUGUUUAAAAUGAUGUUUGAUUCAAGUUUGUAUAUGGAUUUGAGUAUCUUUUCAUGUCUAAAAACAUUUGGAUAAACCUUUGGAAUCAAUUUGGGUAUUGGGAGGUCAAAAAUUGGGAUUUUGGGGUGAAAAUGGAUUUUUCACGAAAACAGAAUUUUCUGCAAACUGUCAUCACUCGCGAGGCUAGCUGGAGGCGAGUUGGUGGCGAGUAGCCACUGGAAUUUCUCGCCAUGGCGAGUAACCAUACUCGCGAGGCGAGAAGCCUAGUGACAGCUUCCCCUGUUUCACGCUCUUGCAUCGUUUUCGCAUAUUUCUGUUUUGAUUUUGACUUUGGUGUAAACAUGAAAGUUGUAGAUAAUUUUGUUAGCUUUCUAAUGACUUUGGUUUGACGUUCAAAUAAUUUUUAGAACUUGAGAUAUGAUUAAAUUACUACACAUGGGUCAUGUGGAUUUUUGUGAAAACUUAUCAUAACUUUUUCUUUGAGCCGUGGAUCUUUUCCAAACUUAUAUUGGGUUUAAUGAAGUACUUAGAGUGAAUAAUUGAGUAUGCAUUUAUGUAUUUGGGAAUGUGAAUGUGUUGAUGGUUUCGAAAAUAUUUUGGGCGGAGUCGAAUCGGUGAAAACGGAUUUUGAGCUAAAUGUCGCUUUGUCUUGGAUUUUCUCAUAAGAACUUAAGCUAUCCCUUGAAAUAAUUUCUAAUAGUUUGUAAGUGACUUAAGUCCUUGGCUACGUGAUUGAUUAAGAUUGAAUUGUAGGAUUUCAUACUUGAAUAAGUUGACUAACUUUGAAAAUUAUCAAUGUUGGUCAUUGCCACAUGAUUUGGAUUUUGUCGGAAAUAUUUCUUAGCCAAUUGUCUUGUGAGUUAUUCUGACCAUUCUUGUAUGACUAAGUGAAGUUGUAUGAAUGAGUGAUUAUAUUUUGGAUAUGAUAUUUAUCAUGAGAUAUUGUUUUCCCUAUUACUUGGAAUAUGAUAAUGCUUGAAUUGGUGAAACUAUAUGUGAUAGUUGAUGUGGAACAACAUUGUUGAUUAUUGAUAAUCAUGUUGAUGUAUGAUGAAUGGUUAUAUGUUGGAUAUGAUAAUUGUCAUGAGAUGUUGUAUGUUCUCUUACUUGGAAUAUGAGAAUUGUUUGGAAUGGUGAAGCUGAAUGAUGUUGUUGAUUAUUGAUAAUCAUGUUGGAGUGUGAUGGUGAAUACUAUGAUUUAAUUGUGUGUGGGCAUGUUUUCUUGAUAAUGCAAAUGAUGUGGAGAUGAACAAUAUAAUUGGGUGUUGUCCUAUAUAUUGUGGAGAAAAUUGUGAUUGUUGUCGCAUUAUCGAGUCUUGUUACAUGUCCAUGCAUCAUAGUCGAGUUGUUGUAAAAGAGUCCGACUCUUUUACUUCGGAGAUUAUGUAAGGAGUGACCCCUUACAUGCGAUGUUGACUUGUCCAUCGGAGGUGACGACCUUUUGGAGAUUUGGUACCACAUGCAUUUAUGUGUCAAUAAGUGCAUAUCAUGACAUGAGUCUUAUUUGGAAAUGUGAUUAGAGAUCGUGAAUGAAUAUUUGUGAAUUGAUAAUUGUUCAUGAAAUAUGCUUAAUGAUUGUGCAUGGCUUAUCAUUGGUGAUUGUUCAUGAUGUAUAUGAUUGGUGAUUGUUCAUGAUGUAUAUGAUCGGUAAUUGUUCAUGAUACAUGUAAUUGGUGAUUGUUCAUGAAAUGUGAUUAAUUAUUAUUCAUGAUACAUGUAAAUUGUGAUUUUUCAUGAAAUGUGAUUAAUGAUUAUUCAUGAUAAAUGUGAUUGGUGAUUGUGAAUGAAUAAUUGUAAAUUGAUAAUUGUUCAUAUGAUUGAUGAAGAUUGAUGUGAGAUAUCGAGGUGUGAUGUAAGUAUUAAUGUGUAAUUAUUAUUGAUCAAGUGCAUGAUGUUUAUAUUGAAAUAUUCAUGUUAACUGUUAUUUGGAUUAUGAUAAUGUAAUACUUACCCCCAGUGGAUCUGUUAUGGACCGCCUGCAUAUCUGUAUGGAUGGGUAGACGUUGUGCAGGUUUAGUUGCUUGGUGAGUUCUUGUGCUUGGUGGAUAUCGAGAGCUUUCUCCGAUAUCGGUGUUUAGAUGUUUAGUCGGCUCUGAUCUAGGAUUUGUUGUGUCGGUCUAGAUUAUCUUUUACUUUGGAUUUUGUGAUGUUUGGAGAUUACCCGUUUGUUGGGAUUUUUGAGAUGUAUCUAUGUUGAUGUAAUUUAUUGAUUCAUAACAUGUAUACUUGGAUUUACUCUGGUUUAUAUUCCGCUGCGACUGUUGAGGUUUAU
Molecule: long non-coding RNA, 2771 nt
Filed under: Medicago truncatula (barrel medic)
Lineage: Eukaryota; Viridiplantae; Streptophyta; Magnoliopsida; Fabales; Fabaceae
Description: long non-coding RNA (MTRU_LNC003579)
Source: RNAcentral